Myotis brandtii (Brandt's bat) is the source of this 1764-nucleotide long non-coding RNA. RefSeq lists it as uncharacterized. The record is from RefSeq and is a predicted model, not a curated record. The transcript is spliced from 2 exons. NCBI's taxonomy places the organism in Eukaryota, Metazoa, Chordata, Mammalia, Chiroptera, Vespertilionidae.
GCAACCUGGGCAUGUGCCCUGAGAAUCAAACGGUGACCUGGUUCUUAGGACAUCCAGUCAGAGCCAUGCGAGCUGGGCUCAACCCACUUUUAUCAUCACUAUUUUAUGAAGUGGGGAGAGACCUGCCAAGGCCACCCCACUGCACUCGAGCAAUUGUUAAAAGCCCAUUGUCAGUCCAACAAAACCUGCAGAAAAGGAAACCAACCUUUGUAGGUGGGCAAGGGGCUGCCCUGGGGACAUGCUCGGCUCUCCUGGCACCCUCAUCUCCAGGAGGCUGUGUCUUGCAGCUCCAUGAACUUGGGGUGUGUGUGUGUGUGUGUAUUGGGGCAUGGGAGGGUCCCCUGAAACUGAACCCAAGCCCUGGUCUCUACAGUCUCUAUGAUUUUAGUCACUGCCCACAUGCUGGGCCCAGGAUCAGCUGCUGGCUCCUGACUCCCCAUGGCUACUCUCAUCCUCCAUGUGGAUCCAGCGCCAGCCCAGAGACCAGAGUGCCACUCUUGAUCCCCUCCAUUGCCUCACCUAGUCAGACCCCCAAUUCCUCUCUGUCCACUUGUAUCAUUACCAGUGCCAAGACCACCUCCCUGGUCUCCCCACCUCUAGGCUGGCCCCACCAGUCUUUCCCAAAGUCAAGUCUGAUCAUGGCACUACCCUGCUCAGAAAUACCAUAUGGCUCCCCACUGCCCUCCCUGUGAGCCUAGAUACCUCCCAAGGACCCUUUUCUUACUCCCCUAGUUGCCCACAACUCAUGGGCCCCCUCACCAGGCCACCACCCUUCUUCCUGGCUGACUCCCCUAACCUAUUCCUUCUCUCCUCAGACUGAGUUGAGGGCCCACUCUGGACUUCCUUGGCACCCUGUGGGUGCCCCAUCACAGCGCCUACCACCUCAGGGCAGGGCUUCCUCACAGCAUCACUGAUAUUCAAGGUCAGAUGAGUCUUUGGGGGCCAUCCUGGGCACUGUAGAUAAUGAGCAGCAUCUCUGCCUCCACCCCCAAAUGCCAGUAGCACCCCUUAUUUCCCAGUCAUGACAACCACAUGUCUCCAGGUGCUGCCAAAUGUCCUCUGGGGACAUAAUCACACUAGUUUGAGAACUUCCUUCGGGGUUGGUAUGAACACCCUGUGGCUGUCUCAGUUCUGGAGUCAGAGCCUAACCAGGGUCUCACUGGGCUAAAAUCCAGGUGGUAGCAGGCCUGGCUCCUGGAGGCUCCAGAAUCCAUUUCCUGGCCUUUUCCAGCUUCUAGAGGCUGCUGCAUUGCUUGGUCCUUUGGGCCCUUUUUCCAUCUUCACAGCCAGCAGUCUUCCUCUCUCACAUCUGUCUCCCCUGCUGCCCUAUUUUUUUCCUAAGGACCUGUAUGAUGAUAUUGGACCUACUUGGAUAACCCAGGGUCACCUGCCAUCUCAAGUUCCUUAAUUUUUAAAAUCUGACCUGACAAGUCCCAUUUGCCACCAGAGUUCACUUUGCCCGCCCCGUCCCUGUCCUGGUGGGACUGUGCUAAGAUGAAAAUAACAGCCUGUUCAGCAAGGACUACAAGAUUGCUGGAAACCCCAACAGUCCCUGGAAGCUGCCCCUUUCAGCCCUCCUUCCCUAAAGGAAAAGCUGUGCUGAGUAUAAUUUCGUUUUAAAGAGAAGUAAAAAGAGAGGAUGCUUUAAAUAAAGGAUAUGUGAACAGAAACACAUUUAUUACAAAAAAAAACCAAAAAACAAAUUCACAUUGUAUCGAGCUACAAUAUGGCAGCAGAUAAAAAAAAAAGAUAUUGUACACAGUU